GAGGGUAUAGCUCAAGUGGUAGAGUGCAUGCUUAGUUAUGCAUGAGGUGCUGGGUUCAAUUCCCAGUACUUCCU
This 74-nucleotide transfer RNA is filed under the name Camelus bactrianus (Bactrian camel). It matches the Rfam family "tRNA". From Rfam's summary of the family: Transfer RNA (tRNA) molecules are approximately 80 nucleotides in length. Their secondary structure includes four short double-helical elements and three loops (D, anti-codon, and T loops). Further hydrogen bonds mediate the characteristic L-shaped molecular structure. tRNAs have two regions of fundamental functional importance: the anti-codon, which is responsible for specific mRNA codon recognition, and the 3' end, to which the tRNAs corresponding amino acid is attached (by aminoacyl-tRNA synthetases). tRNAs cope with the degeneracy of the genetic code in two manners: having more than one tRNA (with a specific anti-codon) for a particular amino acid; and 'wobble' base-pairing, i.e. permitting non-standard base-pairing at the 3rd anti-codon position. RNAcentral also lists the same sequence under 2 other names. Lineage: Eukaryota; Metazoa; Chordata; Mammalia; Artiodactyla; Camelidae. The record is from Rfam by way of RNAcentral.